This 725-nucleotide ribosomal RNA is filed under the name uncultured fungus. RNAcentral's name for it is "eukaryotic LSU rRNA". The stretch from base 263 to 416 matches the Rfam family "5.8S ribosomal RNA". The record is from RNAcentral. Lineage: Eukaryota; Fungi.
AAGUCGUAACAAGGUAACCGUAGGUGAACCUGCGGUUGGAUCAUUAACAAAUCCAACUGGGCUUCAAAGCCUGUGGCCUUUCUUGGGCUGCAGCGCUUUAGCCCGACACACACCUUUGUGAACUAUUGAACGUAUUUUGGUGAAGCCUCCGUGGCUGGCUUUGGCCAGCUGUGGUGGGGUGCGAAAGCGCUCGCUCGCUUCACCGACCAACACCUGUUUUCAAUAUUUGUUGUGCAUCAAUAAAGAGAAAUCAAUGAGAAACAACUUUAGACAACGGAUCUCUUGGCUCUCGCAACGAUGAAGAACGCAGCGAAAUGCGAUACGUAGUGUGAAUUGCAGAAUCCAGUGAAUCAUCGAAUCUUUGAACGCAAAUUGCGCCCUUUGGUAUUCCGAGGGGCAUGCCUGUUUGAGAACCUUGACGUACCUCAACCCCCAACAUGUUGGUCUUAGCCGCAUGGUGGGAGCGUUGGAUUUGGAUCCUCCCUCGACUCCUUGCGAGACGCGGGUGAUCUUAAAUUGAGCUUCAGGCGGAAGUUUAGGCCUUGGCACAAGACGUGAUAAUAUGGGACGCAAAUCCUGUUUCUGCGUUGAUACACCAGGCCUGACGUGAGAUGCUUUUCGGCAUCUCUGCCGACUGAUCCACCGUCGCCAGGCGUUGGCACUCGUUGCUGACGUACACCUGAACACCUGGUCUCAAAUCAGACAAGACUACCCGCUGAACUUAA